RNAcentral lists this unclassified non-coding RNA (340 nucleotides) under Hevea brasiliensis (rubber tree). Lineage: Eukaryota; Viridiplantae; Streptophyta; Magnoliopsida; Malpighiales; Euphorbiaceae. The record is from RNAcentral.
UGUUUGUGUCUUUGAGCUGAUUAAUAUGAUUGAUAUUGUGCUGAAAGUUACCAUAUUUCGGGUACUUGAAGAUGCAGCGCCAGUAAAUCAACUUCCAAGUAGAAUCAUGCCUAAAUUAAACUAAUCAUAAUUUACUUGGUGAUUUCUGACUUGUAAAAAUCUGUCAGGUAUAUCUAUCUUCUUGGUUGUUCUUUUAACUGAUCUUUUUUAUUCAGCUAGAAUCUGGUAUGUCUAGUUUUUUAGCAUAACCUGAUUGAAAACAACCUUUUGCAUCAUCAAUAACAAAUGCCAAAUGCCAAACUGAAGCAUAACAAACAUAUAUAAUCAGACUUUAUUUUUG